CCCACCCCACUGCAGCUUGAUAGAUCAUGGCCCAUGGUGAAGCCUGCAGUACACUCCUCUGGUGAUUUAUGUUCCUCUCCUGUGAACUGCAACAUGCUUGGAGGCAAGGAUGAUCUACUGUGUAUUGCAGCUGUGGCUUUUCGAGCCCAGUCACACAAAAAAGACAUGUCUCAUCGUCCAUGAUUACAGAGGGUCUGAAAUUCUUGAAAAUUCAAAAGCAGACAAGAAAAUGUGGCAAAGAGGUCCAUGGUCUCAAGUCAAUCCUCUUCCAGAAGUUCCUUAGAAAUAGCCCACAGAAAUGUUAGCUUGUCUAAGCAGGAGGACUCACAAAGCAAUUGCAUAAAAAUAAAAUUAAAAGCCAAUAAAAAGUUGAGUGGCUGUCAA
Lacerta agilis (Sand lizard) is the source of this 384-nucleotide long non-coding RNA. RefSeq lists it as uncharacterized. The record is from RefSeq and is a predicted model, not a curated record. Lineage: Eukaryota; Metazoa; Chordata; Lepidosauria; Squamata; Lacertidae. The transcript has 2 exons.